GGAGGGUGCAAGCGUUGUCCGGAAUCACUGGGCGUAAAGGGCGCGUAGGCGGCUCAUGAAGGCUGUGGUGAAAGUCCGGGGCUCAACCUCGGAUCGGCCGUGGCGACUCGUGGGCUGGAGCACUGUAGAGGCGGGUGGAAUUCCGGGUGUAGCGGUGGAAUGCGUAGAGAUCCGGAAGAACACCAGUGGCGAAGGCGGCCCGCUGGGCAGUGGCUGACGCUGAAGCGCGACAGCGUGGGGAGCAAACAGGAUUAGAUACCCUGGUAGUCCACGCCGUAAACGAUGGGCACUAGGUGCUUGGGGGAGCGACCCUCUGAGUGCCGGCGCUAACGCAUUAAGUGCCCCGCCUGGGGAGUACGGCCGCAAGGCUG
RNAcentral lists this ribosomal RNA (371 nucleotides) under uncultured bacterium. RNAcentral describes it as "bacterial SSU rRNA". It matches the Rfam family "Bacterial small subunit ribosomal RNA", at positions 527 to 896 of the family's 1533-position model. The record is from RNAcentral.